GACGAACGCUGGCGACGUGCUUAACACAUGCAAGUCGAACGGAAAGGCCCUGCUUUUGUGGGGUGCUCGAGUGGCGAACGGGUGAGUAACACGUGAGUAACCUGCCCUUGACUUUGGGAUAACUUCAGGAAACUGGGGCUAAUACCGGAUAGGAGCUCCUGCUGCAUGGUGGGGGUUGGAAAGUUUCGGCGGUUGGGGAUGGACUCGCGGCUUAUCAGCUUGUUGGUGGGGUAGUGGCUUACCAAGGCUUUGACGGGUAGCCGGCCUGAGAGGGUGACCGGCCACAUUGGGACUGAGCUACGGCCCAGACUCCUACGGGAGGCAGCAGUGGGGAAUAUUGCACAAUGGGCGGAAGCCUGAUGCAGCAACGCCGCGUGCGGGAUGACGGCCUUCGGGUUGUAAACCGCUUUCGCCUGUGACGAAGCGUGAGUGACGGUAAUGGGUAAAGAAGCACCGGCUAACUACGUG
This 468-nucleotide ribosomal RNA is filed under the name uncultured bacterium. Its description in RNAcentral is "partial 16S ribosomal RNA". It matches the Rfam family "Bacterial small subunit ribosomal RNA", at positions 28 to 507 of the family's 1533-position model. The record is from RNAcentral.